This 424-nucleotide ribosomal RNA is filed under the name Verrucomicrobiota bacterium. Its description in RNAcentral is "Verrucomicrobia bacterium partial 16S ribosomal RNA". It matches the Rfam family "Bacterial small subunit ribosomal RNA", at positions 355 to 776 of the family's 1533-position model. The record is from RNAcentral. Lineage: Bacteria; Pseudomonadati; Verrucomicrobiota.
UGAGGAAUAUUGGUCAAUGGACGCAAGUCUGAACCAGCCAAGUAGCGUGCAGGAUGACGGCCCUAUGGGUUGUAAACUGCUUUUAUUUGGGGAUAAAGUGGGGAACGUGUUCCCUUUUGCAGGUACCAUAUGAAUAAGGACCGGCUAAUUCCGUGCCAGCAGCCGCGGUAAUACGGAAGGUUCGGGCGUUAUCCGGAUUUAUUGGGUUUAAAGGGAGCGUAGGCCGUUUGGUAAGCGUGUUGUGAAAUGUAGGAGCUCAACUUCUAGAUUGCAGCGCGAACUGUCAGACUUGAGUGCGCACAACGUAGGCGGAAUUCAUGGUGUAGCGGUGAAAUGCUUAGAUAUCAUGAAGAACUCCGAUUGCGAAGGCAGCUUACGGGAGCGCAACUGACGCUGAAGCUCGAAGGUGCGGGUAUCGAACAGG